This 499-nucleotide ribosomal RNA is filed under the name unidentified oral bacterium SH60. Its description in RNAcentral is "bacterial SSU rRNA". It matches the Rfam family "Bacterial small subunit ribosomal RNA", at positions 40 to 521 of the family's 1533-position model. The record is from RNAcentral.
CGGCGUGCCUAAUACAUGCAAGUAGAACGCUGAAGGAAGGAGCUUGCUCUUUCCGGAUGAGUUGCGAACGGGUGAGUAACGCGUAGGUAACCUGCCUGGUAGCGGGGGAUAACUAUUGGAAACGAUAGCUAAUACCGCAUAACAGUAGAUAUCGCAUGAUAGCUGCUUGAAAGGUGCAACUGCACCACUACCAGAUGGACCUGCGUUGUAUUAGCUAGUUGGUGAGGUAACGGCUCACCAAGGCAACGAUACAUAGCCGACCUGAGAGGGUGAUCGGCCACACUGGGACUGAGACACGGCCCAGACUCCUACGGGAGGCAGCAGUAGGGAAUCUUCGGCAAUGGACGGAAGUCUGACCGAGCAACGCCGCGUGAGUGAAGAAGGUUUUCGGAUCGUAAAGCUCUGUUGUAAGAGAAGAACGAGUGUGAGAGUGGAAAGUUCACACUGUGACGGUAUCUUACCAGAAAGGGACGGCUAACUACGUGCCAGCAGCCGCGGU